Molecule: ribosomal RNA, 45 nt
Filed under: Agrostis castellana
Lineage: Eukaryota; Viridiplantae; Streptophyta; Magnoliopsida; Poales; Poaceae
Description: partial 18S ribosomal RNA
Rfam family: Eukaryotic small subunit ribosomal RNA
Source: RNAcentral
UGUAACAAGGUUUCCGUAGGUGAACCUGCGGAAGGAUCAUUGUCG